RNAcentral lists this ribosomal RNA (509 nucleotides) under uncultured Bacillota bacterium. RNAcentral's name for it is "bacterial SSU rRNA". It matches the Rfam family "Bacterial small subunit ribosomal RNA", at positions 393 to 896 of the family's 1533-position model. Lineage: Bacteria; Bacillati; Bacillota. The record is from RNAcentral.
AACGCCGCGUGAGCGAAGAAGGUUUUCGGAUCGUAAAGCUCUGUGUGAGGAAGAACAAGUACGGAGUAACUGUCCGUACCUUGACGGUACCUCAUUAGAAAGCCACGGCUAACUACGUGCCAGCAGCCGCGGUAAUACGUAGGUGGCAAGCGUUGUCCGGAAUUAUUGGGCGUAAAGCGCGCGCAGGCGGUCCUUUAAGUCUGAUGUGAAAGCCCAUGGCUCAACCGUGGAAGGUCAUUGGAAACUGGAGGACUUGAGUACAGAAGAGGAAAGCGGAAUUCCACGUGUAGCGGUGAAAUGCGUAGAGAUGUGGAGGAACACCAGUGGCGAAGGCGGCUUUCUGGUCUGUAACUGACGCUGAGGCGCGAAAGCGUGGGGAGCAAACAGGAUUAGAUACCCUGGUAGUCCACGCCGUAAACGAUGAGUGCUAAGUGUUAGGGGGUUUCCGCCCCUUAGUGCUGCAGCUAACGCAUUAAGCACUCCGCCUGGGGAGUACGGCCGCAAGGCUG